UACAGAGGUCCCGAGCGUUGUUCGGAUUCACUGGGCGUAAAGGGUGCGUAGGCGGCGCGGUAAGUCGGAUGUGAAAUCUCGGAGCUUAACUUCGAAACUGCAUUCGAUACUGCCGUGCUUGAGGACUGGAGAGGAGACUGGAAUUUACGGUGUAGCGGUGAAAUGCGUAGAUAUCGUAAGGAAGACCCGUGGCGAAGGCGGGUCUCUGGACAGUUCCUGACGCUGAGGCACGAAGGUCAGGGGAGCAAACGGG
Molecule: ribosomal RNA, 253 nt
Filed under: uncultured bacterium
Lineage: Bacteria
Description: partial 16S ribosomal RNA
Rfam family: Bacterial small subunit ribosomal RNA
Source: RNAcentral